CUUUGGAUGUAACUCAGUGGUAGAGUGCUUGCAUAAUAUGCUGAAGGCCAUGGGUUUGAUCCCCAAUUAAAAAG
This 74-nucleotide transfer RNA is filed under the name Marmota monax (woodchuck). Its description in RNAcentral is "tRNA.Ile". Lineage: Eukaryota; Metazoa; Chordata; Mammalia; Rodentia; Sciuridae. The record is from RNAcentral.